Long non-coding RNA from Raphanus sativus (radish), 254 nucleotides. RefSeq lists it as uncharacterized. Lineage: Eukaryota; Viridiplantae; Streptophyta; Magnoliopsida; Brassicales; Brassicaceae. The record is from RefSeq and is a predicted model, not a curated record. The transcript is spliced from 3 exons.
GGGUUCCAACACCAUCACAAUAAUGCGGAGACCAGUUCCCCGUAAGGACAGCGCCGAGGCGGAUAGGUUAUUUCCGUGGCUGUUACCCAGCAGACGUUUUAUAUCUACUAGCCUUACGAGACGUCCCAAUCUUGUGGUGACCAAGAAGAAAAAAAGAAUCUCCAAGCAUAAGUCAAGAUCAUCUGGAAAACAUGUUAAUGUUCUGCUCAAGAAGACAAAAGACAUCACCCAAAUCCCCCACCUAUGUGAGCAAG